GACUGAGACACGGCCCAGACUCCUACGGGAGGCAGCAGUGGGGAAUCUUGCGCAAUGCGCGAAAGCGUGACGCAGCAACGCCGCGUGGGGGAAGAAGGCUUUCGGGUUGUAAACCCCUUUCAGUUGGGACGAAGCUUCUCCGGUGAAUAGCCGGAUGGAGUGACGGUACCUUCACAAGAAGCACCGGCUAACUACGUGCCAGCAGCCGCGGUAAUACGUAGGGUGCAAGCGUUGUCCGGAAUUAUUGGGCGUAAAGAGCGUGUAGGCGGCCCCAUUAGUCCGCUGUGAAAGUCCAGGGCUCAACCCUGGAAUGCCGGUGGAUACUGUGGGGCUAGAGUCCGGAAGGGGCGAGUGGAAUUCCUGGUGUAGCGGUGAAAUGCGCAGAUAUCAGGAGGAACACCAAUGGCGAAGGCAGCUCGCUGGGACGGUACUGACGCUGAGACGCGAAAGCGUGGGGAGCAAACAGGAUUAGAUACCCUGGUAGUCCACGCUGUAAACGAUGACAACUAGAUGUGGGGGGUGUCGACUCCCCCCGUGUCGAAGCUAACGCAUUAAGUUGUCCGCCUGGGGAGUACGGCCGCAAGGCUAAAACUCAAAGGAAUGACG
RNAcentral lists this ribosomal RNA (606 nucleotides) under uncultured bacterium. RNAcentral describes it as "bacterial SSU rRNA". It matches the Rfam family "Bacterial small subunit ribosomal RNA", at positions 317 to 915 of the family's 1533-position model. The record is from RNAcentral.